This is a long non-coding RNA of Acomys russatus (golden spiny mouse), 651 nucleotides long. RefSeq lists it as uncharacterized. The transcript has 3 exons. The record is from RefSeq and is a predicted model, not a curated record. Lineage: Eukaryota; Metazoa; Chordata; Mammalia; Rodentia; Muridae.
CAGCGCUUCUGUCUGGUGGAUCGCGGAGCCUUGCCUCUCAGGACGACACAAGGGGCUGAGCACCACCUGUGGAGCUCAGAGGCUUAGGAUGUGCUUCAGGAAGGCUGCGCAAGAGGAGGCGAGAGGACUUCAGAAGCUGGCCGUCGGUUCUGGUCCCUGCCUCACCGAGAGUGGUAAGCACGUGUCUGAGCUCCGCUCCCAUGACUUUGCCGUUUCCCUCUUUGUCAAACACACGAAGCCCCUCUAGGUAGUCCUCAUAUGUGCCUUGGUCCCUGUUCUUGGCCACCGCCUGUAGCAUGGGCAGGAAGGUCUCAAAGUCUACACGUCGGGACUUCAGCUCUAGAGAUGGGAAAGGAGUUUUUGAAGUCCUGAGAUCCAGCCCAGCGUCCUCUCUCACCUUACCAAUAUUCUAUCAUUGAAAACGGAUACUGGGGGCUGGAGAGAUGUCUCAGUGGUUAAGAGCACUGCCUGCUCUUCCAGAGGACCCGGGUUCAAUUCCCAGCACCCACAUGGCAGCUCACGUCUGUCUGUAACUCUAAGAUCUGACACCCUCACACCAAUGCACAUAAAUUAAAAUUUAAAUAAAAUAUUUUAAAAACAGAAAAGAAAAAGUGAUACUGGCCUAGUGUGGUGGCGCACGCCUUUAAUCCC